ACAGUUGUGGCAUAGCGGUUUGAGUGUCGGACUACAACUCUGGAGAUCAGGGUUCGAUUCCCAGCUCAGCCAUG
Phrynosoma platyrhinos (Desert horned lizard) is the source of this 74-nucleotide non-coding RNA. NCBI's taxonomy places the organism in Eukaryota, Metazoa, Chordata, Lepidosauria, Squamata, Phrynosomatidae. The record is from the annotation of a GenBank genome assembly.